Molecule: ribosomal RNA, 253 nt
Filed under: uncultured bacterium
Lineage: Bacteria
Description: partial 16S ribosomal RNA
Rfam family: Bacterial small subunit ribosomal RNA
Source: RNAcentral
UACGAAGGGGGCUAGCGUUGUUCGGAAUCACUGGGCGUAAAGCGUACGUAGGCGGACCGUUAAGUCGGGGGUGAAAUCCUGGAGCUCAACCUCAGAACUGCCUUCGAUACUGGCGGUCUCGAGUCCGGGAGAGGUGAGUGGAACUCCUAGUGUAGAGGUGAAAUACGUAGAUAUUAGGAAGAACACCAGUGGCGAAGGCGGCUCACUGGCCUGGUACUGAAGCUGAGUUACGAAAGCUUUGGGAGCAAACAGG